UAGUAACUGAUCAGGUAGGGAUGGUAUCCAACCAGAAAGCCAGGGUUAAUUACGUGCCAGCAGCCGCGGUAAUACGUAGGUGGCAAGCGUUGUCCGGAUUUAUUGGGCGUAAAGCGAGCGCAGGCGGUUUCUUAAGUCUGAUGUGAAAGCUUUCGGCUCAACCGAAGAAGUGCAUCGGAAACUGGGAAACUUGAGUGCAGAAGAGGACAGUGGAACUCCAUGUGUAGCGGUGAAAUGCGUAGAUAUAUGGAAGAACACCAGUGGCGAAGGCGGCUGUCUGGUCUGUAACUGACGCUGAGGCUCGAAAGCAUGGGUAGCAAACAGGAUUAGAUACCCUGGUAGUCCAUGCCGUAAACGAUGAGUGCUAGGUGUUGGAGGGUUUCCGCCCUUCAGUGCCGCAGCUAACGCAUUAAGCACUCCGCCUGGGGAGUACGACCGCAAGGUUGAAACUCAAAGGAAUUGACGGGGGCCCGCACAAGCGGUGGAGCAUGUGGUUUAAUUCGAAGCAACGCGAAGAACCUUACCAGGUCUUGACAUCCUUUGACCACUCUAGAGAUAGAGCUUUCCCUUCGGGGACAAAGUGACAGGUGGUGCAUGGUUGUCGUCAGCUCGUGUCGUGAGAUGUUGGGUUAAGUCCCGCAACGAGCGCAACCCUUAUUACUAGUUGCCAGCAUUUAGUUGGGCACUCUAGUGAGACUGCCGGUGACAAACCGGAGGAAGGUGGGGACGACGUCAAAUCAUCAUGCCCCUUAUGACCUGGGCUACACACGUGCUACAAUGGAUGGUACAACGAGUUGCGAGACCGCGAGGUUUAGCUAAUCUCUUAAAACCAUUCUCAGUUCGGAUUGUAGGCUGCAACUCGCCUACAUGAAGCCGGAAUCGCUAGUAAUCGCGGAUCAGCAUGCCGCGGUGAAUACGUUCCCGGGCCUUGUACACACCGCCCGUCACACCAUGAGAGUUUGUAACACCCAAAGCCGGUGAGGUAACCCUUCGGGGAGCCAGCCGUCUAAG
RNAcentral lists this ribosomal RNA (1011 nucleotides) under Latilactobacillus sakei. Its description in RNAcentral is "bacterial SSU rRNA". It matches the Rfam family "Bacterial small subunit ribosomal RNA", at positions 448 to 1461 of the family's 1533-position model. The record is from RNAcentral. Lineage: Bacteria; Bacillati; Bacillota; Bacilli; Lactobacillales; Lactobacillaceae.